GGUUCAGGAUGAAUGCUGGCGGCAUGCCUAAUACAUGCAAGUCGAGCGGUAACAUGAAUAGCUUGCUAUUGAUGACGAGCGGCGGACGGCUGAGUAACGCGUGGGAACGGACCCAAACUGAGGGAUAACUAGUCGAAAGAUUAGCUAAUACCGCAUGUGAUCUUCGGAUUAAAGUCUUCGGACGGUUUGGGACUGGCCUGCGUACGAUUAGAUAGUUGGUGAGGUAAUGGCUCACCAAGUCGACGAUCGUUAGAUGGUUUGAGAGGAUGAUCAUCCAGACUGGGACUGAGACACGGCCCAGACUCCUACGGGAGGCAGCAGUAGGGAAUCUUUCACAAUGGGCGAAAGCCUGAUGGAAGCAAUGCCGCGUGCAGGACGAAGGCCUUCGGGUUGUAAACUGCUUUUAUAAGCGAGGAAUAUGACGGUAACUUAUGGAUAAGGAUCGGCUAACUACGUGCCAGCCGCUGC
This 468-nucleotide ribosomal RNA is filed under the name uncultured bacterium. RNAcentral describes it as "bacterial SSU rRNA". It matches the Rfam family "Bacterial small subunit ribosomal RNA", at positions 21 to 518 of the family's 1533-position model. The record is from RNAcentral.